UUGCUACAAACACUGCGUACACAUUAUUCUAUUUAAUCUUCAUAACCCAGUGAGGAUAUCAACCAGGAUAUGGCAUUGCAUUGGAUCCCAACCAGGAUAUGACGUUACAUUGGAUCCCAACCAGGAUAUGGCAUUGCACUGGAUCCCAACCAGGAUAUGGCAUUGCACUGGAUCCCAACCAGGAUAUGGCAUUGCGUUGGAUCCCAACCAGGUUAUGGCAUUACAUUGGAUCCCAACCAGGUUAUGGCAUUGCAUUGGAUCCCAACCAGGAUAUGACAUUGCAUUUACUCAUCACGCCUCCUUAGGUUCCUCUUGGCUGUGACGGUUUCUCAGACUAUCCUUGUUUUUUAGGACCUUGACAGUUUUGAGGCAUACUGGAGAGCUCAACGUGGGCGUUUCUUUCUGUAACAAGUAUGCAUCAUGGCUGGCUGACUCCUCCCCAUAACAAGCAGUUUAAAGGUAUUGGAAAACCCAAGCAUUGACUCUCCAGACCAGCCUCGCACCUAAGAACGCCGUGGGAUGCAGUUUCAGACAGUGAGAAAUCUGCUGGGGAUGCCUGGGAAAGGGACAUACCUGGCAGGUGCCGCUCCAUGGCCUUCUUGCUGCCUUGAAUUGGGACAUGAGCCUGAGUCGCAGCAGCCGUCUUGUGACUGAGAGGUGGCAAGCAGGAGGAAGAGGCUAAGAGAAUAGAGACACUGUUGAGCUGCUGAAGCACAGCAAGCGGCCACUUCUCUAUGCUUCUUGCUAUUUGACUGUUAAGCUAGUGCAAGUUACUUUUCUGGUCAGAAUGAAUUCAUAACUGAAACAUGC
Homo sapiens (human) is the source of this 810-nucleotide long non-coding RNA. The record is from Ensembl. Lineage: Eukaryota; Metazoa; Chordata; Mammalia; Primates; Hominidae.